AUCUGUGACCCGGGGCCACGUGCUGGGAUCAGCUCUUUACACGAAGGAGCUCACUGACUCCCCUGGAUCCCCUUGCCAGGUCUCACCUCCCAUCAAGGAAGAUGUCCAGAUUGCUGUCUGACGUCUGGUCUCUGGACUGAAGGCCAUUUAGUGCAGAUCUCACAAAUGAUGGUGGGGCAAGGCAGGGGGUAUGCAUGAGUGGCAUGGGCAAGGUGUGAGUUGGGGGAUACAAAAGGGAGUGGUGGAGGCCGGGCACGGUGGCUCACACCUGUAAUCCCAGCACUUUGGGAGGCCAAUGCGGGCGAAUCACCUGAGGUCAGGAGUUCAGGGCCAGUCUGAUAGCCUGAGCAACAUGGAGAAACCCCGCCUCUAAUAAAAAAUACAAAAAUUAGUGAAGCCGACUGGACCAGCAGGUGGCUGUUGUGUGGCCUCUCAGGAGGACGCCCUCUCCCUUCCCCCAGUGGUUGCAAAAUACUUCAGAAAGAAAACCAAAGUUCUCUGUGGGUGCAGUCGGUUGUUUCAGAAGCUGACGGAGCCUGGUCUUUGUAUAACCCCAUCUUUCCCCUUUCUUUCUGUCAACUGUUUAUGGGAGGAUUCUCAAACUGUUCUGGAGAAUGUUUCUACCCUUUAGUUCUAGUGUUGGGUGACCUGUAAUUUUCAUGUUGGCUGGGGAUGCCAGGAGUUGGCAGAGGCUCCUUCCAGAGCCCCUGUGGACUGGAUUCUGCCACUUCCGUAAAAUCAUUCAAAAGUAGAGGGUGAGUCAGGUGCAGUAGCUCACAUCUGUAAUCCCAGCACCUUGAGAGGCCAAGGCAGGCAGAUCCCCUGAGGUCAGGAGUUCAAGAUCACCCUGGCCAACAUGGUGAGACCCUGUCUCUACUAAAAAAAAUUUAAAAAUCAGCUAGAUGUGGUGGCACACGCCUGUGGUCCCAGCUACUCAGAAGGCUGAGGCAGGAGAAUUGCUUGAACCCAGGAGGUGGAGGUUGCAGUGAGCUGAGAUCAUACCACAACCCAGUGAAGGGGGUCCAGCAAGCCAUGCCUGGGGUGAGAGAGAACUGAUGUUUUGGUUCUCUCACACUACUUAUUCUGUUUGGAAAAACACAUGCCCUUCCUUUGUGGGAACAGCCCCUACCCACUUCUGUGGCUCUGAAGGGACCACCAGUCAUGGCACCAGCCCCCUGGGCAUGGGAUUGGCCCCUGACAGGCACAUGACUUGAGCCAGGCCAAUUAGAGGCCUUCCUUGGGAUUUACUAUAUGGACGUUAGGAGAGAGAUGCUCUCUUAUUCUGCUGGAGUUUGCUGAACUUGCAUGGGAAGGGAUAGGCCUUAUGGAGAGACCAACACAUAGAUAAUAGUUGGGAUGGGAGAUGAAAGGAGAGAAUCCUGACAUCAUUUGAGUCCCCUGAUCCAGCAACACCUGAGGCUAGAUCCUCUUAGCUGUGUGAGCCUAUAGUAUCAGUCUCUGUCUCCUCUGUCUCUCUUAAUGUGUGGGAUUCAGCCAUCUGCAACAACUACCACAAAAUCCCGGAGUAUGCAGGGAACUUCCCACAGAGCUAACUUCCUUUUUUGUUCUGUCUCCUAAAACACCAAGAUCCGGUGAGGUUAAGCAACGUGUCCAAGGUCAUCACUAUUUGAAGGCAGGGCAGCAUUUAACCCAAUUUUAUCUAAUCCUAUGCAGGCUCAUUUAUCUAGACCAGAGUUUCUCAAAUGAGGCAUCCCAGGCUCUAAGGGCUGCAGAGAAGUUUCCAGAGAUGCCACUGAGGGCAGGAGUGGACAGAGUGGAUAACUCCAAAGAUCUUAACACCCUCUGGAUGACUAACAGUGCUUGAGCACUUCCCAUUUGCAAGACAUUUGCAAGUUCUUUUCCAUAAAUCAUCCUUUUUUUUCAUCCCCAUAAGCUAUGAGCUGGGGCUAAUGACAUCCCCACUGAACAGAUGAGAAAACUGAGGCCCAGGAAAGGAAUUGCUCAGGUUAUAUAGAACCUGUGAUGCGUUCUGGGAGGAACCAUAUCUUAAGCCUGAUACUACUUAGUGGGAUCAGCUGGAAGGCAAGGUGGGGAGGCGGCAGUGCCGCCAGAGUAGCGUUGGGGGCUGGACUGGGGGUCAAAUGAUGAGGUUUUUUUGUUUUUGUUUUUGUUUUUGUCUUGUUUGUUUGUUUUUUUUUUUGAUACGGAGUCUGGCCCUGUCACUCAGGCUGGAGUGCAAUGGUGACAUCUCCACUCACUGCAACCUCUGCCUCCUGGGUUCAAACGAUUCUCCUGCCUCAAGCCUCCUGAGUAGCUGGGAUUAUAGGUGCCUACCACCACGCCCAGCUAAUUUUUCUAUUUUUAGCAGAGAUGGGGUUUCACUAUGUUGGCCAGAUUGGUCUUGAACUCCUGACCUUGUGAUCCGCCUGCCUCGGCCUCCCAAAAUGCCGGGAUUACAGUCGUGAGCCACCGCACCCGGCCAAUGAUGAGCUUUUCUGAAGUAGCAUCAGACCAGGCUGCAAAAGAGGGGCACCAGGGAAAGCUUUUCCUGCCAUUCACCCCUGCAGGAUCCUGGCCAGGCGAGUAGCUGUGUGACCCUGGGUUGAGUCAUCCCCAUUUUACAGAGGGAAAACUGAGACUCCGGAGGUUUGCGACAUGGCCUGCUAACAGGCAGAGCCGGGAUUCAAAUCAAGAUCUCACUCCAGUGAGUGAAUGGGAACAGGAUGCAGAUGGUAGACACUGAACACGAAGAAGAAAGCACUGAGGCUGGGAUGAAGAAAGACUUGCUGGCCUUUGCAAAGCAGCAGCUGGGAGGAAGCCGGGCUCCAGACUGAAGGCAUCAUUACCAUCGUGGUGAGCCACACAGUAGGAUGAAUGAGGAAUUCUGGGGCCUCAGGCGUUCCCUGUUGGAUUUUCCAAAGAGCGACAGCCACGCUGGAGGAAGUGCUCCAAUCGUGCACAUAUGAGAUGACUGUGGGUAUGGAGAAACAGCAGGAAAUGAAAUGUACUCACCAGGUAAAAAACUAUCCUUUCUCCAAGUCAUUUUUCAAUCCCUGCUAUGAAAUCAAGGAGCAACUCUCUGUUGGGCCAGUAAGUCUCUAGGGUCUCUCUAAUAUAUUUUGGUUUCUCUAUUGAAUAAAAGAAAGGAAGAAAAUGAGAGAACGUGGGCACACCAGAGGGAAGGCCAGAGCUAGGUUACGUUGGAGGAACUGCUCAAAGAACCUCAGUUUAAAGCAGAAGUUGGCAAACUAUCAAUCAUCAAAGAAAAACAAAAAGCAUAUGUCAUGACAGGUGAAAAUUACAUGAAAUCCAAAUUUCAGUGACUACAAAUAAAGUUUUAUUGAAACGCAGUCGGCCGGGGGUGGUGGCUUACACCUGUAAUCCCAGCACUUUGGCAGGCCAAGGCAGGCAGAUCACCUGAGGUCAGGAGUUGGAGACCAGCCUGGCCAACAUGGCGAAACCCUGUUUCUACUAAAAAUACAAAAAAAUAGCGAGGUGUGGGGGUGGGCACCUGUAAUCCCAGCUACUCGGGAAGCUGAGGCAGGAGAAUCACUUGAACCCAGGAGGCGGAGGUUGCAGUGAGCCGAGAUCGCACCAUUGCACUCCAGCCUGGGUAACAAGAGCAAAACUGCAUCUCAAAAAAAAAAAACAAACAAAAAAGUAACACAGUCAUGACUAUUGUCUAUGGUUAUGACUAUUGCGUUCAUUCUGGAAUGGCAGAGUUCAGUGUUCGGAAGGAAGAUUACCUGGCUCACAAAGUCUCAAAUACUGUGUACCGCUUGGCUCUUUAAGUUUGCCAACCCCUGGGUUGGUGGCGGGUGAUAAUGUAAAAAUUAAUACAAUGGCAGAAGAAUGAAUGAACUCUGAAGAACAUUCUUUGGAAGCCUACAAGAAUGGAGUAGAAGAGGAUGGAUGAGCAGAAAGGCUCACACUUGGAAUGCCAGUGUUUAUUUAACACACUAAGAUUCCCUUCUACACCCCGAUAGGAGGAGUCUACUUUAAGACUUCACCAGGUUCCAGCCUGUCCCCUGCC
This 3994-nucleotide long non-coding RNA is filed under the name Homo sapiens (human). Its description in RNAcentral is "HSALNT0228178". The record is from RNAcentral. Lineage: Eukaryota; Metazoa; Chordata; Mammalia; Primates; Hominidae.